This 253-nucleotide ribosomal RNA is filed under the name uncultured bacterium. RNAcentral's name for it is "partial 16S ribosomal RNA". It matches the Rfam family "Bacterial small subunit ribosomal RNA", at positions 524 to 776 of the family's 1533-position model. The record is from RNAcentral.
GACGUAGGGUGCGAGCGUUGUCCGGAUUUAUUGGGCGUAAAGAGCUCGUAGGCGGCUCGUCGCGUCUGCCGUGAAAACCCGCAGCUCAACUGCGGGCUUGCGGUUGAUACGGGCGGGCUGGAGUUCGGUAGGGGAGACUGGAAUUCCUGGUGUAGCGGUGAAAUGCGCAGAUAUGCGGAGGAACACCGAUGGCGAAGGCAAUCCCCUGGGCCUGCACUGACGCUGAGGCACGAAAGCGUGGGGAGCAAACAGG